RNAcentral lists this ribosomal RNA (253 nucleotides) under uncultured bacterium. Its description in RNAcentral is "partial 16S ribosomal RNA". It matches the Rfam family "Bacterial small subunit ribosomal RNA", at positions 524 to 776 of the family's 1533-position model. The record is from RNAcentral.
UACGAAGGGUGCUAGCGUUGUUCGGAAUUACUGGGCGUAAAGCGUGCGCAGGCGGUUUUGUAAGCCAGAUGUGAAAUCCCCGGGCUUAACCUGGGAAUGGCAUUUGGGACUGCAAGGCUUGAGUGCGGCAGAGGAGACUGGAAUUCCUGGUGUAGCAGUGAAAUGCGUAGAUAUCAGGAGGAACACCGAUGGCGAAGGCAGGUCUCUGGGCUGACACUGACGCUCAUGCACGAAAGCGUGGGGAGCAAACAGG